GCGAACCGAGGGAACUGAAACAUCUCAGUACCUCGAGGAAAAGAAAUCAACCGAGAUUCCCCUAGUAGCGGCGAGCGAACGGGGAGCAGCCCAGAGUCUUAAUCAGCAUUAGCAUCAGGAGAACGGUCUGGAAAGGCCGGCAGUAAAGGGUGAUAGCCCCGUAUCCGAAGGUGUUAGUGUUGUGAACUCGACGAGUAGGGCGGGACACGUGUUAUCCUGUCUGAAUAUGGGGGGACCAUCCUCCAAGGCUAAAUACUCCUGAUUGACCGAUAGUGAACCAGUACCGUGAGGGAAAGGCGAAAAGAACCCCGGCGAGGGGAGUGAAAUAGAACCUGAAACCGUGUACGUACAAGCAGUGGGAGCACCCUUGUGGUGUGACUGCGUACCUUUUGUAUAAUGGGUCAGCGACUUAUAUUCUGUAGCAAGGUUAACCGUAUAGGGGAGCCGUAGGGAAACCGAGUCUUAACUGGGCGAAUGAGUUGCAGGGUAUAGACCCGAAACCCGGUGAUCUAGCCAUGGGCAGGUUGAAGGUUGGGUAACACUAACUGGAGGACCGAACCGACUAAUGUUGAAAAAUUAGCGGAUGACUUGUGGCUGGGGGUGAAAGGCCAAUCAAACCGGGAGAUAGCUGGUUCUCCCCGAAAGCUAUUUAGGUAGCGCCUCGUGAACUCAUCUUCGGGGGUAGAGCACUGUUUCGACUAGGGGGUCAUCCCGACUUACCAACUCGAUGCAAACUACGAAUACCGAAGAAUGUUAUCACGGGAGACACACGGCGGGUGCUAACGUUCGUCGUGAAGAGGGAAACAACCCAGACCGCCAGCUAAGGUCCCAAAGUCAUAGUUAAGUGGGAAACGAAGUGGGAAGGCUCAGACAGCCAGGAUGUUGGCUUAGAAGCAGCCAUCAUUUAAAGAAAGCGUAAUAGCUCACUGGUCGAGUCGGCCUGCGCGGAAGAUGUAACGGGGCUAAACUAUGCACCGAAGCUGCGGCAGCGAUAUGUAAAUAUUGUUGGGUAGGGGAGCGUUCUGUAAGCCUGUGAAGGUG
Molecule: ribosomal RNA, 1041 nt
Filed under: Providencia sp. wls1914
Lineage: Bacteria; Pseudomonadati; Pseudomonadota; Gammaproteobacteria; Enterobacterales; Morganellaceae
Description: partial 23S ribosomal RNA
Rfam family: Bacterial large subunit ribosomal RNA
Source: RNAcentral